ACUAUUUUGGCAGAUUAGUGUAAUAAAUUUAGAAUUUAUUUUAGUAUACUUAAUGUUAUACAUGCAGUA
Molecule: transfer RNA, 69 nt
Filed under: Agenocimbex maculatus
Lineage: Eukaryota; Metazoa; Arthropoda; Insecta; Hymenoptera; Cimbicidae
Description: tRNA-Leu
Source: RNAcentral